UACGAAGGGGGCUAGCGUUGCUCGGAUUUACUGGGCGUAAAGGGCGCGUAGGCGGAUGUUUAAGUCGGGGGUGAAAGCCCGGGGCUCAACCUCGGAAUAGCCUUCGAUACUGGACAUCUUGAGUACGGGAGAGGUGAGUGGAACUCCGAGUGUAGAGGUGAAAUUCGUAGAUAUUCGGAAGAACACCAGUGGCGAAGGCGACUCACUGGCCCGUUACUGACGCUGAGGCGCGAAAGCGUGGGGAGCAAACAGG
This 253-nucleotide ribosomal RNA is filed under the name uncultured bacterium. RNAcentral describes it as "partial 16S ribosomal RNA". It matches the Rfam family "Bacterial small subunit ribosomal RNA", at positions 524 to 776 of the family's 1533-position model. The record is from RNAcentral.